AGCUAGGUGGACUCAAUUCUUCUGGUGAAGAGGUGUUUCUGUAAUAAUAACAAAAAGAAAUAAACACAGCUGGUAUUAAUUGGCAGCAGUAGUAACCCUUAUUGCAAACCUCAUUAAAGAGGCUGAUUUUGUAAAUGAUGUGGAGUUAGUUACCACCUUGCCUCUAGAAAUGAUGUCCAGAUAAGGUGGAGACGCCCCAGUAGAGCUGUUUUCACUACAGCUGCCCUGAGUGGUUCUGGAGGUGGUUACCGCAGCUCGGCCACAGAAAUUACCCGUGUGGCACCUUUCCAAACCGUUCUUGAAGAUGAAAGCACUACAAAAGAAAAAUUACAUGUCAUCAGCCUUGUUCAUCUGCAACUCCCAAAGUCUUACUGGAGUGGUCCUGAUCCUGUUCUCGAGAGAAUGGAAGAUGGAGAGCAAUGGUACCGAAGUCAGCAGAGUCACAUCGAUGUAACCCUGAGCUGAGGUCACAAAGAUGACAAAAAAAGGCCUCGGUCUGACUGGUGUAACACCAGGACUGAGCCUUAGACCCCCAUGCCCUGGUUGCUGCAGCUGUUCCACAACGUUAGUGUCUUUAUACACGUUUCGUCAAAAGGAAAUGUAAACAUCUGCUACGUUCAUAUCCUGGGGCACUGUGCGAUGCAUCUGCAGGAGCUUAAUGCUCAGGCUGAUCAUCUCCGGUGCCUCUAUA
This is a long non-coding RNA of Anas platyrhynchos (mallard), 691 nucleotides long. RefSeq lists it as uncharacterized. The record is from RefSeq and is a predicted model, not a curated record. NCBI's taxonomy places the organism in Eukaryota, Metazoa, Chordata, Aves, Anseriformes, Anatidae.